UUUUCUUUACCAUCCACAUUCUUUUUGGAAUAUCUCAUCCAGGAAAGGUCUUUAGCACAGGCCAUCGUUCCUCUGCAGGUCAGUACAGCCUUAGAAGGAAACGAUAACCUUCUCGUCGGAUGAAGAGGUUAUUGCAGGAGGUUUCUGCAGCUUGACGGAAACCUUGCAGGGCCAAGGCUCCUGAGAUCUCCACACCAGAUCUGAGCUCCAGACUGGACCACAGUUACAGCUGCAUCUCCAGAACGACCGAACUGAACUUCACACUGGAGGAGCUUCAGGACCAUGCAGCGGUUCUCCCUCAUCUGAUCGUGGACCACAGGCCUUCAGUCCACCCAGUGUUCUCCUAUACUCUAUCCCAGGGACCAGCUUCACCGGUGGGCAGACUCUGCUUCCACAGAGACUCAGAGUUCCACAGAGUAUCACACUAUCACUCUGUGGUGGAUCCUCUGCUAGGAACAUCUUCAGAAGAGCUCCGUUCCAGCAGUCUGCAGCUGGACCAUAAGAUCAAGCAGCGGCUGUGGGAGGAGGUGCGCUGUCCGGUCGUGUUUGGAGAGGUCCAGCCUGAUGGAUGGUUUCAUUUCACAGAGACCUUCAGCGCACCCACUAGGACUAGGUCCACCUCACUUUGACCUGGACAUGUAUAUAGAAGGGUAAAUGGGUAGGUAGAUGGAUUGGUAGAUGGGGAAGGAGAUAGAUGGGUAGAUGGAUAUGUAGAUAGAUUGCUAGGUAGAUAGGUGGGUAGAUGGGUAGGUAGAUAUAUGGUUAGAUAAAUAUGUAAAUAGGGAGGUAGAUAAAUAGGUAGAUGGUAGGGAGUUAGAUGGGUAGAUAAAAAUGUAGAUAGAUGGGUAGGCAGAUAUGUAGAUGGAUAUGUGGAUAGGUGGGUAGAUGGGUAGGUAGAUACAUGGGUAGAUAAAUGGGUAAAUGGGGAGGAAUAUAGAUGGGUAGGCAGAUAUAUAGAUAGGUGGAUAGUUGUAUAAGUAGAUAGAUGUGUAGGUAGAUUGAUAUGUAGAUGGAUAUGUAUAUAGAAGGGUAAAUGGGUAGGUAGAUGGGUAAGGAGAUAGAUGGGUAGAUGGAUAUGUAGAUAGAUUGGUGGGUAGAUAAAUGGGUAGGUAGAUACAUGGGUAGCUAGAUAGGUAAAUAGGGAGGUAGAUAAAUGGGUAGAUGGGUAGGGAGAUAGAUAGAUGGGUAGGUAGAUGCAUGGGUAGAUAGAAAGGUAAAUAGGGAGGUAGAUAAAUGGGUAGAUGGGUAAGGCGAUGGUAGGGAGGUAGAUACAUGUGUACAUAGAUAGGUAAAUAGGGAGGUAGAUAAAUGGGUAGAUGGACAGGUAGAUAGUAGGGGUGGGCGGAUCGAUUUAAAAUAUUGAUAGUAUCGAUACUAACAUUGGUAUUGGGUAUUGAUCGAUACUUACGUGAUGAGAUCGAUUCUUAAGUUUCGGUUUCUCUUUGGUACAACUCCAGCCAUUUACAGAGUGGCCGACUGGCCGUAUAACACAGCUCUUCUCUCACUUCACUCAUGCUCUACACCCCUCCCCUUUCCUUCGCCACACCUCCCCCCUCCCCC
RNAcentral lists this long non-coding RNA (1560 nucleotides) under Astyanax mexicanus (Mexican tetra). RNAcentral describes it as "lncRNA (ENSAMXG00005015442.1)". Lineage: Eukaryota; Metazoa; Chordata; Actinopteri; Characiformes; Acestrorhamphidae. The record is from RNAcentral.